Molecule: ribosomal RNA, 494 nt
Filed under: uncultured bacterium
Lineage: Bacteria
Description: bacterial SSU rRNA
Rfam family: Bacterial small subunit ribosomal RNA
Source: RNAcentral
AAAUGAAUUGACGGGGGCCCGCACAAGCGGUGGAGCAUGUGGUUUAAUUCGAUGCAACGCGAAGAACCUUACCUGGCCUUGACAUAGUAGAAACUUUCCAGAGAUGGAUUGGUGCCUUCGGGAAUCUACAUACAGGUGCUGCAUGGCUGUCGUCAGCUCGUGUCGUGAGAUGUUGGGUUAAGUCCCGCAACGAGCGCAACCCUUUUCCUUACUUGCCAGCAUUUCGGAUGGGAACUUUAAGGAUACUGCCAGUGACAAACUGGAGGAAGGCGGGGACGACGUCAAGUCAUCAUGGCCCUUACGGCCAGGGCUACACACGUGCUACAAUGGUCGGUACAAAGGGUUGCUACACAGCGAUGUGAUGCUAAUCUCAAAAAGCCGAUCGUAGUCCGGAUCGCAGUCUGCAACUCGACUGCGUGAAGUCGGAAUCGCUAGUAAUCGCGGAUCAGAAUGCCGCGGUGAAUACGUUCCCGGGCCUUGUACACACCGCCCGU